UACGUAGGGGGCAAGCGUUGUCCGGAAUUAUUGGGCGUAAAGAGCGCGUAGGCGGUCCGAUAAGUCGGCUGUGAAAGUCAGGGGCUCAACCCUUGAAAGCCGGCCGAUACUGUCGGACUAGAGUUCGGAAGAGGCAAGUGGAAUUCCCGGUGUAGCGGUGAAAUGCGCAGAUAUCGGGAAGAACACCCGUGGCGAAGGCGGCUCUCUGGGACGGUACUGACGCUGAGACGCGAAAGCGUGGGGAGCGAACAGG
This 253-nucleotide ribosomal RNA is filed under the name uncultured bacterium. RNAcentral's name for it is "partial 16S ribosomal RNA". It matches the Rfam family "Bacterial small subunit ribosomal RNA", at positions 524 to 776 of the family's 1533-position model. The record is from RNAcentral.